This 465-nucleotide ribosomal RNA is filed under the name Escherichia coli. Its description in RNAcentral is "bacterial SSU rRNA". It matches the Rfam family "Bacterial small subunit ribosomal RNA", at positions 338 to 795 of the family's 1533-position model. The record is from RNAcentral. Lineage: Bacteria; Pseudomonadati; Pseudomonadota; Gammaproteobacteria; Enterobacterales; Enterobacteriaceae.
CCUACGGGAGGCAGCAGUAGGGAAUUUUCGUCAAUGGGGGGAACCCUGAACGAGCAAUGCCGCGUGAGUGAGGAAGGUCUUCGGAUCGUAAAGCUCUGUUGUAAGAGAAAAACGGCACUCAUAGGGAAUGAUGAGUGAGUGAUGGUAUCUUACCAGAAAGUCACGGCUAACUACGUGCCAGCAGCCGCGGUAAUACGUAGGUGGCGAGCGUUAUCCGGAAUGAUUGGGCGUAAAGGGUGCGUAGGUGGCAGAUCAAGUCUGGAGUAAAAGGUAUGGGCUCAACCCGUACUUGCUCUGGAAACUGAUCAGCUAGAGAACAGAAGAGGACGGCGGAACUCCAUGUGUAGCGGUGAAAUGCGUAGAUAUAUGGAAGAACACCAGUGGCGAAGGCGGCCGUCUGGUCUGGAUUCUGACACUGAAGCACGAAAGCGUGGGGAGCAAAUAGGAUUAGAUACCCCUGUAGUC